ACGGGUGAGUAACACGUGGAUAACCUACCUAUAAGACUGGGAUAACUUCGGGAAACCGGAGCUAAUACCGGAUAACAUAUUGAACCGCAUGGUUCAAUAGUGAAAGGCGGCUUUGCUGUCACUUAUAGAUGGAUCCGCGCCGUAUUAGCUAGUUGGUAAGGUAACGGCUUACCAAGGCAACGAUACGUAGCCGACCUGAGAGGGUGAUCGGCCACACUGGAACUGAGACACGGUCCAGACUCCUACGGGAGGCAGCAGUAGGGAAUCUUCCGCAAUGGGCGAAAGCCUGACGGAGCAACGCCGCGUGAGUGAUGAAGGUCUUCGGAUCGUAAAACCCUGUUAUCAGGGAAGAACAAAUGUGUAAGUAACUGUGCACAUCUUGACGGUACCUGAUCAGAAAGCCACGGCUAACUACGUGCUAGCAGCCGCGGUAAUACGUAGGUGGCAAGCGUUAUCCGGAAUUAUUGGGCGUAAAGCGCGCGUAGGCGGUUUUUUAAGUCUGAUGUGAAAGCCCACGGCUCAACCGUGGAGGGUCAUUGGAAACUGGAAGACUUGAGUGCAGAAGAGGAAAGUGGAAUU
This 579-nucleotide ribosomal RNA is filed under the name uncultured bacterium. Its description in RNAcentral is "bacterial SSU rRNA". It matches the Rfam family "Bacterial small subunit ribosomal RNA", at positions 102 to 668 of the family's 1533-position model. The record is from RNAcentral.